This 203-nucleotide ribosomal RNA is filed under the name uncultured bacterium. Its description in RNAcentral is "partial 16S ribosomal RNA". It matches the Rfam family "Bacterial small subunit ribosomal RNA", at positions 524 to 724 of the family's 1533-position model. The record is from RNAcentral.
UACAGAGGGUGCUAGCGUUGUUCGGAAUCAUUGGGCGUAAAGGGCGUGUAGGCGGUUUUGUUAAGUCAUGUGUGAAAUCCCUCGGCUCAACCGGGGGAACGACGCAUGAAACUGGCAAGCUAGAGUACCAAAGAGGGGGGUGGAAUUCCCGGUGUAGCGGUGAAAUGCGUAGAUAUCAGGAGGAACACCGGUGGCGAAGGCGG